CUGUGAGCUCGAUGAGUAGGGCGGGACACGUGGUAUCCUGUCUGAAUAUGGGGGGACCAUCCUCCAAGGCUAAAUACUCCUGACUGACCGAUAGUGAACCAGUACCGUGAGGGAAAGGCGAAAAGAACCCCGGCGAGGGGAGUGAAAAAGAACCUGAAACCGUGUACGUACAAGCAGUGGGAGCACGCUUCGGCGUGUGACUGCGUACCUUUUGUAUAAUGGGUCAGCGACUUAUAUUCUGUAGCAAGGUUAACCGAAUAGGGGAGCCGAAGGGAAACCGAGUCUUAACUGGGCGUUAAGUUGCAGGGUAUAGACCCGAAACCCGGUGAUCUAGCCAUGGGCAGGUUGAAGGUUGGGUAACACUAACUGGAGGACCGAACCGACUAAUGUUGAAAAAUUAGCGGAUGACUUGUGGCUGGGGGUGAAAGGCCAAUCAAACCGGGAGAUAGCUGGUUCUCCCCGAAAGCUAUUUAGGUAGCGCCUCGUGAAUUCAUCUCCGGGGGUAGAGCACUGUUUCGGCAAGGGGGUCAUCCCGACUUACCAACCCGAUGCAAACUGCGAAUACCGGAGAAUGUUAUCACGGGAGACACACGGCGGGUGCUAACGUCCGUCGUGAAGAGGGAAACAACCCAGACCGCCAGCUAAGGUCCCAAAGUCAUGGUUAAGUGGGAAACGAUGUGGGAAGGCCCAGACAGCCAGGAUGUUGGCUUAGAAGCAGCCAUCAUUUAAAGAAAGCGUAAUAGCUCACUGGUCGAGUCGGCCUGCGCGGAAGAUGUAACGGGGCUAAACCAUGCACCGAAGCUGCGGCAGCGACACUAUGUGUUGUUGGGUAGGGGAGCGUUCUGUAAGCCUGUGAAGGUGGCCUGUGAGGGUUGCUGGAGGUAUCAGAAGUGCGAAUGCUGACAUAAGUAACGAUAAAGCGGGUGAAAAGCCCGCUCGCCGGAAGACCAAGGGUUCCUGUCCAACGUUAAUCGGGGCAGGGUGAGUCGACCCCUAAGGCGAGGCCGAAAGGCGUAGUCGAUGGGAAACAGGUUAAUAUUCCUGUACUUGGUGUUACUGCGAAGGGGGGACGGAGAAGGCUAUGUUGGCCGGGCGACGGUUGUCCCGGUUUAAGCGUGUAGGCUGGUUUUCCAGGCAAAUCCGGAAAACUAAGGCUGAGGCGUGAUGACGAGGCACUACGGUGCUGAAGCAACAAAUGCCCUGCUUCCAGGAAAAGCCUCUAAGCAUCAGGUAACAUCAAAUCGUACCCCAAACCGACACAGGUGGUCAGGUAGAGAAUACCAAGGCGCUUGAGAGAACUCGGGUGAAGGAACUAGGCAAAAUGGUGCCGUAACUUCGGGAGAAGGCACGCUGAUAUGUAGGUGAAGUCCCUUGCGGGUGGAGCUGAAAUCAGUCGAAGAUACCAGCUGGCUGCAACUGUUUAUUAAAAACACAGCACUGUGCAAACACGAAAGUGGACGUAUACGGUGUGACGCCUGCCCGGUGCCGGAAGGUUAAUUGAUGGGGUUAGCGGUAACGCGAAGCUCUUGAUCGAAGCCCCGGUAAACGGCGGCCGUAACUAUAACGGUCCUAAGGUAGCGAAAUUCCUUGUCGGGUAAGUUCCGACCUGCACGAAUGGCGUAAUGAUGGCCAGGCUGUCUCCACCCGAGACUCAGUGAAAUUGAACUCGCUGUGAAGAUGCAGUGUACCCGCGGCAAGACGGAAAGACCCCGUGAACCUUUACUAUAGCUUGACACUGAACAUUGAGCCUUGAUGUGUAGGAUAGGUGGGAGGCUUUGAAGUGUGGACGCCAGUCUGCAUGGAGCCGACCUUGAAAUACCACCCUUUAAUGUUUGAUGUUCUAACGUUGACCCCUUAUCCGGGUUGCGGACAGUGUCUGGUGGGUAGUUUGACUGGGGCGGUCUCCUCCUAAAGAGUAACGGAGGAGCACGAAGGUUGGCUAAUCCUGGUCGGACAUCAGGAGGUUAGUGCAAUGGCAUAAGCCAGCUUGACUGCGAGCGUGACGGCGCGAGCAGGUGCGAAAGCAGGUCAUAGUGAUCCGGUGGUUCUGAAUGGAAGGGCCAUCGCUCAACGGAUAAAAGGUACUCCGGGGAUAACAGGCUGAUACCGCCCAAGAGUUCAUAUCGACGGCGGUGUUUGGCACCUCGAUGUCGGCUCAUCACAUCCUGGGGCUGAAGUAGGUCCCAAGGGUAUGGCUGUUCGCCAUUUAAAGUGGUACGCGAGCUGGGUUUAGAACGUCGUGAGACAGUUCGGUCCCUAUCUGCCGUGGGCGCUGGAGAACUGAGGGGGGCUGCUCCUAGUACGAGAGGACCGGAGUGGACGCAUCACUGGUGUUCGGGUUGUCAUGCCAAUGGCACUGCCCGGUAGCUAAAUGCGGAAGAGAUAAGUGCUGAAAGCAUCUAAGCACGAAACUUGCCCCGAGAUGAGUUCUCCCUGACUCCCUGAGAGUCCUGAAGGAACGUUGAAGACGACGACGUUGAUAGGCCGGGUGUGUAAGCGCAGCGAUGCGUUGAGCUAACCGGUACUAAUGAACCGUGAGGCUUAACCUU
RNAcentral lists this ribosomal RNA (2549 nucleotides) under Escherichia coli KTE76. RNAcentral describes it as "bacterial LSU rRNA". It matches the Rfam family "Bacterial large subunit ribosomal RNA", at positions 397 to 2925 of the family's 2925-position model. Lineage: Bacteria; Pseudomonadati; Pseudomonadota; Gammaproteobacteria; Enterobacterales; Enterobacteriaceae. The record is from RNAcentral.